Molecule: ribosomal RNA, 506 nt
Filed under: uncultured bacterium
Lineage: Bacteria
Description: partial 16S ribosomal RNA
Rfam family: Bacterial small subunit ribosomal RNA
Source: RNAcentral
GAUGAACGCUAGCUACAGGCUUAACACAUGCAAGUCGAGGGGUAACGAGAGGAAAGCUUGCUUUCCUUGUCGACGACCGGCGCACGGGUGAGUAACGCGUAUCCAACCUGCCCCCAACUAGGGAAUAACCUUGCGAAAGUAAGACUAAAACCCUAUAAUUUCCUCAGAUGACAUCUGACGAGGAAUAAAGAUUUAUCGGUUGUGGAUGGGGAUGCGUCUGAUUAGCUUGUUGGCGGGGUAACGGCCAACCAAGGCAACGAUCAGUAGGGGUUCUGAGAGGAAGGUCCCCCACAUUGGAACUGAGACACGGUCCAAACUCCUACGGGAGGCAGCAGUGAGGAAUAUUGGUCAAUGGGCGGAAGCCUGAACCAGCCAAGUAGCGUGCAGGAUGACGGCCCUAUGGGUUGUAAACUGCUUUUAUACAGGAAUAAAGUUAGCCACGUGUGGUUAUUUGUAGGUACUGUAUGAAUAAGGACCGGCUAAUUCCGUGCCAGCAGCCGCCGUAA